GACGAACGCUGGCGGCGUGCUUAACACAUGCAAGUCGAACGGUAAGGCCCUUCGGGGUACACGAGUGGCGAACGGGUGAGUAACACGUGGGUGAUCUGCCCUGCACUUCGGGAUAAGCCUGGGAAACUGGGUCUAAUACCGGAUAGGACCACUGCCUGCAUGGGUGGUGGUGGAAAGCUUUUGCGGUGUGGGAUGGGCGCCGCGGCCUAUCAGCUUGUUGGUGGGGUGAUGGCCUACCAAGGCGACGACGGGUAGCCGGCCGGAGAGGGUGACCGGUCACACUGGGACUGAGAUACGGCCCGGACUCCUACGGGAGGCAGCAGUGGGGAAUAUUGCACAAUGGGCGCAAGCCUGAUGCAGCGACGCCGCGUGAGGGAUGACGGCCUUCGGGUUGUAAACCUCUUUCAGCACCGACGAAGCGCAAGUGACGGUAGGUGCAGAAGAAGGACCGGCCAACUACGUGCCAGCAGCCGCCGUAA
This 479-nucleotide ribosomal RNA is filed under the name uncultured bacterium. Its description in RNAcentral is "partial 16S ribosomal RNA". It matches the Rfam family "Bacterial small subunit ribosomal RNA", at positions 28 to 523 of the family's 1533-position model. The record is from RNAcentral.